This 207-nucleotide ribosomal RNA is filed under the name uncultured bacterium. Its description in RNAcentral is "partial 16S ribosomal RNA". It matches the Rfam family "Bacterial small subunit ribosomal RNA", at positions 568 to 774 of the family's 1533-position model. The record is from RNAcentral.
UGCGUAGGUGGUUAUUUAAGUCCGUUGUGAAAGCCCUGGGCUCAACCUGGGAACUGCAGUGGAUACUGGAUGACUAGAAUGUGGUAGAGGGUAGCGGAAUUCCUGGUGUAGCAGUGAAAUGCGUAGAGAUCAGGAGGAACAUCCAUGGCGAAGGCAGCUACCUGGACCAACAUUGACACUGAGGCACGAAAGCGUGGGGAGCAAACA